GGAGGAAUAUUGCGCAAUGGAGGAAACUCUGACGCAGCGACGCCGCGUGAAGGAUGAAGGCCCUCUGGGUUGUAAACUUCUGUAGAGAGGGAAGAAUUUCUCGUUUCGCGAGAUUGACGGUACCUCUAAAGUAAGGGUCGGCUAACUACGUGCCAGCAGCCGCGGUAAUACGUAGGACCCGAGCGUUGUCCGGAUUUACUGGGUGUAAAGGGAGCGCAGGCGGAUUAUUAAGUCGAUUGUGAAAUCUUGC
RNAcentral lists this ribosomal RNA (250 nucleotides) under uncultured bacterium. RNAcentral describes it as "partial 16S ribosomal RNA". It matches the Rfam family "Bacterial small subunit ribosomal RNA", at positions 355 to 605 of the family's 1533-position model. The record is from RNAcentral.